This 468-nucleotide ribosomal RNA is filed under the name uncultured bacterium. RNAcentral describes it as "partial 16S ribosomal RNA". It matches the Rfam family "Bacterial small subunit ribosomal RNA", at positions 28 to 507 of the family's 1533-position model. The record is from RNAcentral.
GACGAACGCUGGCGGCGUGCUUAACACAUGCAAGUCGAACGGAAAGGCCCUGCUUUUGUGUGGUGCUCGAGUGGCGAACGGGUGAGUAACACGUGAGUAACCUUCCCUUGACUUUGGGAUAACUUCAGGAAACUGGGGCUAAUACCGGAUAGGAGCUCCUGCUGCAUGGUGGGGGUUGGAAAGUUUCGGCGGUUGGGGAUGGACUCGCGGCUUAUCAGCUUGUUGGUGGGGUAGUGGCUUACCAAGGCUUUGACGGGUAGCCGGCCUGAGAGGGUGACCGGCCACAGUGGGACUGAGAUACGGCCCAGACUCCUACGGGAGGCAGCAGUGGGGAAUAUUGCACAAUGGGCGGAAGUCUGAUGCAGCAACGCCGCGUGCGGGAUGACGGCCUUCGGGUUGUAAACCGCUUUCGCCUGUGACGAAGCGUGAGUGACGGUAAUGGGUAAAGAAGCACCGGCUAACUACGUG